AACGAACGCUGGCGGCAGGCCUAACACAUGCCAGUCGAGCGCCCCGCAAGGGGAGCGGCGGACGGGUGAGUAACGCGUGGGAAUAUGCCCUUUGCUACGGAAUAGUCUCGGGAAACUGGGGGUAAUACCGUAUACGCCCUUUGGGGGAAAGAUUUAUCGGCGAAGGAUUAGCCCGCGUUGGAUUAGGUAGUUGGUGGGGUAAUGGCCUACCAAGCCGACGAUCCAUAGCUGGUUUGAGAGGAUGAUCAGCCACACUGGGACUGAGACACGGCCCAGACUCCUACGGGAGGCAGCAGUGGGGAAUCUUAGACAAUGGGGGCAACCCUGAUCGAGCCAUGCCGCGUGAGUGAUGAAGGCCUUAGGGUUGUAAAGCUCUUUCAGCUGGGAAGAUAAUGACGGUACCAGCAGAAGAAGCCCCGGCUAACUCCGUG
This 431-nucleotide ribosomal RNA is filed under the name uncultured bacterium. Its description in RNAcentral is "partial 16S ribosomal RNA". It matches the Rfam family "Bacterial small subunit ribosomal RNA", at positions 29 to 507 of the family's 1533-position model. The record is from RNAcentral.